This 358-nucleotide ribosomal RNA is filed under the name uncultured bacterium. RNAcentral's name for it is "bacterial SSU rRNA". It matches the Rfam family "Bacterial small subunit ribosomal RNA", at positions 1154 to 1519 of the family's 1533-position model. The record is from RNAcentral.
UGCGCAAGCAGAGAGGAAGGUGGGGACGACGUCAAGUCAUCAUGGCCCUUACGUCCGGGGCUACACACGUGCUACAAUGGAUGGUACGGCGGGCAGCUACAUAGCAAUAUGAUGCUAAUCUCUAAAAGCCAUUCACAGUUCGGAUUGGGGUCUGCAACUCGACCCCAUGAAGUUGGAUUCGCUAGUAAUCGCGUAUCAGCAAUGACGCGGUGAAUACGUUCCCGGGCCUUGUACACACCGCCCGUCAAGCCAUGAAAGUUGGGGGUACCUAAAGCAUGUUACCGCAAGGAGCGUGUUAGGGUAAAACCGAUAAUUGGGGCUAAGUCGUAACAAGGUAACCAAGGGCGAAUUCGCGGCC